UACGAAGGGGGCUAGCGUUGCUCGGAAUUACUGGGCGUAAAGGGCGCGUAGGCGGGUCGUUAAGUUAGAGGUGAAAGCCCAGGGCUCAACCCUGGAAUUGCCUUUGAUACUGGCGGCCUUGAGUAUGGCAGAGGUGUGUGGAACUCCGAGUGUAGAGGUGAAAUUCGUAGAUAUUCGGAAGAACACCAGUGGCGAAGGCGACACACUGGGCCAUUACUGACGCUGAGGUGCGAAAGCGUGGGGAGCAAACAGG
This 253-nucleotide ribosomal RNA is filed under the name uncultured bacterium. Its description in RNAcentral is "partial 16S ribosomal RNA". It matches the Rfam family "Bacterial small subunit ribosomal RNA", at positions 524 to 776 of the family's 1533-position model. The record is from RNAcentral.